Molecule: ribosomal RNA, 501 nt
Filed under: uncultured bacterium
Lineage: Bacteria
Description: bacterial SSU rRNA
Rfam family: Bacterial small subunit ribosomal RNA
Source: RNAcentral
GUACGCUGGCGGCAUGCCUACAGCCUACAAGUUGAACGGGUUUAACGCCUUAUUAUACUUAACAAGUAGCGGACGGGUGAGUAACGCGUAAGAACCUACCUUUAGGUAAGGAAUAACUAUUGGAAACGAUAGAUAAUACCUUAUAAGCUUAUAGUAAAAGAUAAAAUCGCCUAAGGAUGGGCUUGCGUCUGAUUAGCUUGUUGGUGAUUUAAAAGAUUCACCAAGGCAACGAUCAGUAGUUGGUCUAAGAGGAUGAUCAACCACACUGGGACUGAGACACGGCCCAGACCUCUACGGAGGGCAGCAGUGAGGAAUUUUCCGCAAUGGGCGAAAGCCUGACGGAGCAAUGCCGCGUGGAGGAUGAAAGCUUGUGAGUCGUAAACUCCUUUAUCUUAGCUGAAGAAAUAAGACGGUAUCUCAAGGAAUAAGCAUCGGCUAACUCCGUGCCAGCAGCCGCGGUAAUACGGAGGAUGCAAGCGUUAUUCGGAAUUAUUGGGCGUA